CUGGGCUGGAUGAGUGGCGAACGGGUGAGUAACACGUGGGUAACCUGCCCUCUUCUUUGGGAUAACGGUCGGAAACGGCUGCUAAUACCGGGUAUUCACUGUCCUUCGCAUGGGGGGUGGUGGAAAGGUUUUUUCUGGUGGGGGAUGGGCUCGCGGCCUAUCAGCUUGUUGGUGGGGUGAUGGCUUACCAAGGCUUUGACGGGUAACCGGCCUGAGAGGGUGACCGGUCACAUUGGGACUGAGAUACGGCCCAG
This 254-nucleotide ribosomal RNA is filed under the name uncultured bacterium. Its description in RNAcentral is "partial 16S ribosomal RNA". It matches the Rfam family "Bacterial small subunit ribosomal RNA", at positions 82 to 334 of the family's 1533-position model. The record is from RNAcentral.